AUUGAACGCUGGCGGCAGGCCUAACACAUGCAAGUCGAGCGGAUGGAGGGAGCUUGCUCCUGGAUUCAGCGGCGGACGGGUGAGUAAUGCCUAGGAAUCGGCCUGGUAGUGGGGGAUAACGUCCGGAAACGGGCGCUAAUACCGCAUACGUCCUGAGGGAGAAAGUGGGGGAUCUUCGGACCUCACGCUAUCAGAUGAGCCUAGGUCGGAUUAGCUAGUUGGUGGGGUAAAGGCCUACCAAGGCGACGAUCCGUAACUGGUCUGAGAGGAUGAUCAGUCACACUGGACCUGAGACACGGUCCAGACUCCUACGGGAGGCAGCAGUGGGGAAUAUUGGCCAAUGGGCGAAAGCCUGAUCCAGCCAUGCCGCGUGUGUGAAGAAGGUCUUCGGAUUUUAAAGCACUUUAAGUUGGGAGGAAGGUCAGUAAGUUAAUACCUUGCUGUUUUGACGUUACCAACAGAAUAAGCACCGGCUAACUUCGUG
RNAcentral lists this ribosomal RNA (484 nucleotides) under uncultured bacterium. RNAcentral describes it as "partial 16S ribosomal RNA". It matches the Rfam family "Bacterial small subunit ribosomal RNA", at positions 30 to 507 of the family's 1533-position model. The record is from RNAcentral.